GUCAAUGAAAAGAGGAGACUAGAGGAUGAUGAUGCCCAACCUUCCAACGGUGCAGCUCUAAAAAAACCAAAGAUAGAACCUUUUACAGCGUACCUGACAUGUGGUGCCCGACUGUGUGAUGAUUUCGAAGCUAUUCCUUUCACUAAGAAUAUAAGUCAGAAUACAACUGGAGGUGAACAAAUCUACAAAGGUGGUAGUCUUGACUCCGCAGAUCAUGUAUGUACAUCUGCUCUAAGCAGCAGCUCUGUUGAUCCAGAAGUUGUGUUGUGCUCAUGCCGAGGGUUUGAUCCUGAUGUUACUCAGGUCUGUCUGAACUUUUACUGCUUUUAUAGAGGGUUUGUUUUGAGCUGAACAUUUGACUUUUGGUUCUGACAGGUGUUUGUAGAGCUGUGCGGAUCUAGAUUACCAUUUCAGGAGAACCUGAGCGAAUGGAGUGUAAAGCUGCUGAUCAAGGCUGCUUUUGCCAGAGCAGGAGUUGAGUCAGAUGAUUUCUAUGCAACAUUAUCUGGAAAAGUCUUAGAGCCGGAGAGACCACUUUCUUAUUAUCAUAUACGUCAAAAUAGUACGAUCAUAGUUCAUCCUAAACUAAGGGAUGGUGUUAGGUACGUUAUAAAUUAAAAUCCUUUUAUUCAAUGGAAUAUCAAUUGAUUAAUUUAUUAUUUGGAGUACUAAUGCUGUUGCUUUGGCAGGUACCAGACGUGGGAUGAUAUUGUCAGUGCUGGUCCUCGUUACCACAGUGUGAAU
Long non-coding RNA from Brachypodium distachyon (stiff brome), 744 nucleotides. RefSeq lists it as uncharacterized. NCBI's taxonomy places the organism in Eukaryota, Viridiplantae, Streptophyta, Magnoliopsida, Poales, Poaceae. The transcript has 3 exons. The record is from RefSeq and is a predicted model, not a curated record.